Aedes albopictus (Asian tiger mosquito) is the source of this 10832-nucleotide long non-coding RNA. RefSeq lists it as uncharacterized. The transcript has 4 exons. The record is from RefSeq and is a predicted model, not a curated record. Lineage: Eukaryota; Metazoa; Arthropoda; Insecta; Diptera; Culicidae.
AAACUCCAGACAUCUUUCCAAUACCAAAUAUAUACAUAUUGCAUGAUUUUAGAGCCUAAAACUCCAUUAAAAAACCGCCAUCUUGAAUGUUGAUCCGCCAUUUAGAAUAUUCUGGUUGCCAUUUUUGGACUUCGGACAUCUUCAUUAUACCAAAUACAGGCAUACCUCGAUAGUACGUACACCACCGCUUCGUUUAGUGUACGUACUAUCGAAACGUACGUACUAUCGAAUCACAAAUUUUAAUUUCAAAUUUCAUUUUCAAACCAAAGAAUGUUAUUUCUAGAACGUCAGGAUUGCCAAAAAAUUACAUGUUGCCUAAGGGUCCGUUUAUUAAUUACGUAAUUUUGCUUGUUUAGGAUCCUGUCUUUAUUGGAAAAAUCUUCUUGUGCUCUGGAGAUGCUUCGUACAGGCAUCUCGUCUCUGGGAACUUAUAUUGAUUUUAUUUGAACUAUUUUUGAGAAUCAUCCAAACUGGUCUAGAUAUAAUUAAAUCGAUCUAGAUCAGUUAUAUCUUGUUAUAGAAACAUUAUAGAAUUAUUUUCUCCUGCAAUAUUUAUUGCCGUGAUAUUUUCAAAACCUUCUGAACAUUGCUCCUUCUAGGACACCCCCAAGAGUUUAUUUUUUUUUCGAGAAGGGAUUCCUAGAGGUAUUUCGGAGCUCUUGGAGGAAUCCCGGAAUUCUGGAAAAAAAUUUUCAAGGAAAAAUUAUUUGAUGAAUUUUAGAAAGAAUUCCUGUAGGAAUCUCGGAAUGAAUUUCUGGAGGAAUCUUAGAAUUAAUUCAUGGAGAAAUCCCGGAACGAAAUUCCUGGAGGUAUUCAGGAAGAAAUUCCUGAAGAAAUCCUGGAAGUCUCGAAAGUAUUACAGAAGAAAUUCUUGGUAAUGUUUCGGAAGGAAUCUCUGGAGAAAUCUCUGAAAGAGACCUUGGAAUCUCAACAGGAAUCGUAGAAGAAACUCUGGAAGAAUCCCUAAGGAAUCCCAGAAAGAAUUCCUGGAAAAAUCUCGUAACCAACACUUAGAGGAAUUUCGGAACUGAAAGAAACUUGAAACUUGAAGAAAUCCCUAAAGCAAGCGAAAAAGCGGAAUGACUUUCCCUGAAUCCCACAUUUCGGGUUCACCCAGAAACAAUUGAAUUGGUACAGCCUAUAGGACAAUGCAAGCCGCGGUUGCUAAAGAAUGUUUUCCUAAGUUUUUCAUGUUUUGUGGCCUUUUUGUUUACGUUCGGACUUCUAGAGAUUUCUUCGAGAAUUUCUCAAAAAGUCCCUGGAAUCCUCCAGGAAUUACAUCCGAGAUUCUCCGAACCAAGCUCCGAACAGUUUCUUUCGGGAUGUCUCUGGAUUUGUUUUUUUUGGGCAUCCAGAUGGUAUUCCUGUUAAUUCUAACAACUUCACCUAGAAUUUCUCUUGGAGUUCUUUCGGAAAUUGUAUCAGAAAUUCUUACCGAGAUUCCUUCAAAAACUCCUUGCAACAAUCCGUAAGGAAUCCUUACUAAGUAUUUAUUCCUGGAAUUUCAUACGAGAUUCUUUCCGGAGUAUCUUCUGGCAAUUCUUCGGGAAUUUCUUCUAAAACCCUUCCAGAAAUCCUACAAUAUCCCUGACAAGAGCUUCAUUCAGUAUUCCUCUAAAAGCUUCUCCGAGAUCCCUCCAGGAACUUCUCCUGGUUUUUUUUUCGGGAGAUACUUCUGAUUUAAGUAUUCCUUCUGGGAUUCCUACAAUAAUUUUACCAGGUAAACUUUCUGGGAUUUUUUCAGGAUUCUUUCAGAAAUUCCUUCCGGGAUUCCUCCGUGAAUUUCUUCUGGAUGACUGUCAGGAAUUACUUUUCAGGAACUUCUUCCGGGAUUCCUCUUAGAGCUUCUUCUAGGAAUUCUUUCAGAAACGGAUUCCGGUAUUUCUUCGAGAACUUUUUCCAGGAAUCAUCUAGGGACUCUUUUUUGGUUUCUACCAAGAGCUCCGUCAGGAAUUCUUGCAGACGCUUCUGGAAUUCUUUCAGAUGUUUGUAAUGGAAAUCCUUCUGGAAUUCAUUAUGGAUUUUUUAGAGUAUUUUGUUUUUGGUAAUCCUCAGGAGUUUCUGUAGGACUUUUUUGAAUAAACAAUAAGCAACUUAGUUAUAGCUCCCUCCUAGAGGAAUUAUAGAAUAAGUUUGUGGAGAAACCACAGAAGGAAUACCUGGAAGAGCUUCAGGAAAAAUUACUAAGGUAGAAGGAGUAAUGCUGAAGGAAUCUCGAAAUUAAUUUCUACAGAAAUCCAGGAGUCUCUGGAAGAAUCGCGGGAAACUUCUUGGAACAAUCCUGGCAAGAGUUUUUGACGGAACCCCAGGUGGAACCUCUUAAGGAAUCUCAGAAAAAAAACUCCUGGGAAAACUCCAGAGGGAACUUCUAAAGGAAUCCUAAAUAAACUUUCGGAAGAAUUUUAUUAAGAGCUUACGGAAUCCCAGAAGAACGCUCUGGAACAAAUUUGUGGACAAACCACGAGGGGAGUCCCGGAUGGAAUUCUUGUGGAAUCCCAGAAGGAACUCCAUGAGGUGAGCCACCAUCAAGUUAUAAAACAGCACACGCACGUAUACCCCCAAAUCCAACCACUCAUGAUAAGCUGGCGUGUUUUUUUUAAUGCGAGAGCUGACGAUUUUUUUAAGUCCGAAUCGUUAACAAAAAGCCACGAAACGUCAAAAACUAUGAACAUUUUCCUUAGCAACCGCGGCAUGCAGUGCCCUACGGCACUCAAAGUUGUUUAAAUUUCCGAACUCAUGGAAAACUGUCAAAUAUUGUAUACGUAUCGUACAAAAACAUUAAUUGUAGGAAAACGAAAAACAAUAACAAGUAAGUGAACUGAAAUCAAUGGUUUGGAUAAGUAACUUAAUGGGUUUGAUUCAUGUUUUGGAGAGCAAUCUUCGCCGAGAAAUUUAGUUUUUUUUAUUACGACACAAAAUAGAACCAUCAUGUGCCUUUUUAUUUUAUUACAACGUUCUAUUGGUGAAGAAAGCGUUCAGUUAAUAACUGUGCAAGUGCUUAUUGAUCACUAAGCUGAGAAGCAGUCCUCCCCAGCUGGGAUGUAACGCCAGAAUGAUGAUGCCAGAUAUUAUGACUGGCAGAAAAUAUCUAUGUAAAGCGAAGAAUACUGCAAUCAUUACAUCAAACGUAUUCGUUCAUGUCUUCCAUUUCGCUACAUUUUAAAACUGCUUAUAGGUUCCCAAACUUUUGAGGUGCGCGACCCCCUUUUGUCAGUUGACGUGCUUUCGGCGACCCACCAUAGAAAUUCCCUCAUUUGUUGUCUGUUACAAUCAGGCCCGGAUUAAGGAUUGUGGAGUAGGCCUGUCCAGCUUUUCAAAAAUGUUCUCUGAUUCUCAAGUCCACCCCCAUAUUUUGAUUGGCAUCCUAAAAGAAGUAACUGGUCCAAAUUUCAGCCAAAUCCAUUAAAAUUAAGAGGUGCAUCAAAUCAAUUUUGUGUUUUUCGACUAUUUUUGAACUUCAAAAAAUUAUAACUACACUAAAACAUGUCAAAACUUAAUUCUUUCGGCAGAAAUUGAAAGCUAUACUUGUUUGCUACAACUUCUCCGAACAACGUGUGCCAAUAAAAUUGAAGGAAACAUGUGUAAUUAUCACAUUUGUAAUCAGAAAAACCUUAAAAAGUUGAGUUUUUGAUAGAUUUUGUUCUGGAAUACCCUAAUAUACGUAAUAAGAUGGAUUUUUCAAAACGGCAUCAUAUUCUCCAAUGUUUUUUUGGUUAUUUGCUUCUUUGGCACCAAUGCUGUAGGAGUUGCGCAAAAAUUACUAAAAUUCGUGAAAGUCAAAUGUGGCCUGAAAACUAGCUUUUCGGGUGCAAUCACGCUUUGGCGCGUGGCAUCGCGUCAGCACUGAUAUUAUAGCCAACACCUGUCAUCGCGCUUGUUUGUUAUCACCCGUGGUAGGGGGUAGCCAAGGCAAACUACUAGGAAGCAAAGCUACUACGUUCAGUACACUUUCGCGCCACAACGUGAUUGCCUCCAAAAAGCUAGUUUUUAGGCCACAUUUGACUUUCACGAAUUUUAGUAAUUUUUGCUCAACUCCUACAGCAUUGGUGUCAAAGAAGCAAAUAACCAAAAAACAUUGGAGAAUAUGAUGCCGUUUUGAAAAAUCCAACUUAUUAAGUAUAUUAGGGUGUUCCAGAACGAAAUCUAUCAAAAAAUCAACUUUUUAAGGUUUUUCUGAUUACAAAUGUGAUAAUUACACAUGUUUCCUUCAAUUUUAUUGGCACACGUUGUUCGGAGAAGUUGUAGCAAACAAGUAUAGCUUUCAAUUUCUGCCGAAAGAAUUAAGUUUUGACAUGUUUUAGAGUAGUUAUGAUUUUUUGAAGUUCAAAAAUAGUUGAAAAACACAAAAUUGAUUUGAUGCACCUCUUAUUUUCAACGGAUUUGGCUGAAAUUUUGACCAGUUACUUCUUUUAGGAUGCCAAUCAAAAUAUGGGGGUGGACUUGAGAAUCAGAUAACAUUUUUGAAAAGCUGGACAGGCCUAUUGUGGAGGCCCAGGGCCCGAGCGGAUGUGGAGGACCCUCGGAGAGAUGACCUUUUUUCCAAUAGAGGUAAUAAACUAUAGAGGAAGAAUGUCGCUGGCGUCGCUGCCGAAACAUCUCUUGCUGGCGGAGAUAGGCCGGGCUAUAAGUGUCAAAGCGAAAAAGUAUGCAGUUUGACAGAUAGAUACCCGACAUGUUUGCGAGCGAAAACAAAGGGAACAGCAGCGACAUUCGUCAUCUAUAGUUUAUUAACUCUAUUUUUUUUCCUCACUUUCGAACAGUACUAAAAGGUUUUUGUGGGGGCCCUAAAAUGUGCGGGCCCGGGCCUCACCGCCCCCCCCCCCCUUACAUCCGGCCCUGAUUACAGUAAAUUAUUCGACUGACUCUCGCGACCCGCUGGAUGAAGGCCGGCGACCCCCCUUGGGGGUCGUAACCCACAGUUUGGGAAACCAUGACUGAAAAUCCGUGUUAUAGGAGUCUGCAUAACACAAAUUCAUAGUAUCGGAGUCUCUGCUAUACGUCUACUAAUGAUUCGAACCCAUUUUUGUAGAUUAAAAAUUAAAUAAAUUUUGGUGUACGUACUAUCGAGGCAAAAUGUACGUACUAUCGAGGGUACGUACUAUCGAGGGUACGUACUAACGAGGGUACGUACUAUCGAGGUACGCCUGUAUGUAUAUGUAUACCCAUUGUUGUCAGCGCGCAAUUCCACUGGACUGGCAACGCUUAUCCAUAUACUACCACACGAAUAAACAGCACUACCUUCGAUAGUAGGUAGACACAGAGAACUGGCAGGGAGAUGCGGGAAGAUGAUAAGGCAUAAUUGAUGAAAUGUUAUUGCUAUUGCGGCCUAAACGAACACACUAUUUUUGCUAAAAUUUGUUUCUCUAAAAACUGCAUGAAAUGUUAGUGAAUUCUUAAUCUAGUGUUAGUCAAAGUUAAAACCUAAAUACCUAUCAUUCGUUAGUACGCUUAACCUACACGAACCACUCCCGAUUGAUUACGGAUUAAAUUGAUCCCUAAUUACACGAAUAAUUAGUUGGUAUCCCAUGCAACAUUUACCGUCAGAGCAUCAAUUGCCGUCUGACUCCGAGCGAAUAGUAAACGAAUUUUAUAAUCCACCUUGGAUUCGAAUAAACGGAUUAUAAAAACGGAAUCUGCUCUUUGUUGUAUGGUGAGUCAACACCCAUAUUGCAUUGCAUUGAAUUUGGAGCCGCCAUCUUGAAUAUUAGGCUGCUAUCUUGAAUUUUAGGUCGACAUCGUGGAAUUUCUUGUCUCCAGUGUUCAUUUUCGCAGAAAAUUCGUCAACCAUACUAAAGGUUACAAAAAUCGCCGCAGUUUGAUGUGUCGCAUGAUGGGGCUUGGUUCAGUUUAAUAUACGGCCAGUUCCACCAUUGCUGGUCCGGAUCACUGAAAUGGCCAUAACUCUGGAACGCCUGGACCGAUUCGAACUAUUUUUAAUAGCAAACAAUGCGGAAAAAUUCCGGUUCGAUUCGAGCUAUAAUCCGAAAAAUCGGGCAAUGAGCCAAUGGCUUAAAUUGAGUGAACUUUUUUUGCACACAGACAUGUAUACAUACACACAUACAUACUCACAUACAGACAUCAUCUCAAUUCGUCGAACUUUUGAGUGAACAUGAUAUGUUCACUUUUUGAGUGAACAUAUAACCUUUCAGUAAACUUCGGUGUACGAGAAAGGCAAAAAUGUGCAAGAAAUCAAAACUAAAUUUUAAGAAAUGAAAUUUAGUACAGGUCGGACUCAAUUAUCCGGAGUCAAGUACCCACACAUAUAUCUGGGGAACAGAAUGUUGUAUAAAGCUUAAAUUUUGAUAUUUUGUCAAACCAACUUUGAUUGAAAACUGAUUAAAAUUUCAGCUUUGUAAUCCAUUCCGUUCCCCAGAUAUAUGUUUGGAGAGGUUCAGAAGGUUCAGAAGUUCAGAAUAUCCUAACCACAGGACCAAACAUAGCUGUUGACUUGGCUCAAAAUAGCAGCUGAAAUUCAGGGGAUGAAAUUCAGAUUCGAACACAUGUCACGUCAAAACCGUAACAACAAUAGUUUGUCGAUUAUUUUUACACUCGUAUAAAAAAUAACUGCAAUUAUCGUAUUCCAAUUAUUUCAUCAAGUAUUUCUUUUCAAGUAUUCCUCGAAGCGUUUUUGCGGGAAUUUCUUCAGGACAAAGUAAAUACGGUAAGUUGCCUUCGGGGAUAUUUUUUUACGAUUUAUCUAGCAGUUACUUCAAACACUUAUACAAAAAAUCCUAUGAGAUUAACUUCAGAACUUUUUUUCAGGGAUUGCUUCAGAAAUUCUUCUAAGCAUUGAUUUAGGAAUAGUUACAAUGAUUCCUCAGGAACUCCUCCAAGCAUUUCUUCGGCAACUUUUCAAGAAACCCUUCAGGAAUUCCUUCAAGAUUUUUUUUUGGAAUUUCUUCCAGCAUUCGUUCAGGAUAUCUCUUCGGAUUCCUUCAGAAAGUUCUUCAAGGAUUAUGCCAUGAAUUUCUCCAAGGAUUCCUUAAGAUGUUUUUCCAAGAAGGAAUCUUGCAGGAGCUUCUCAUGAAAAAUAUCUUUCAUGAGUUUCUGAGAUCAUGCUUGGAGCCACACCUGAAUGGAUCAUUGGGAGAUUUUCUAAGGGAAAUUUAAAAGAAUUUCCGAAGGAAUCCUUGUAGUAAUGCUUGCAGGAAUUUUUGGGGGUAUUUCUAAAGGAAUCUUUGAAGAAUCGUCUAGAUGAAUUCGGAAAGAAUCUUUGGGUUGAUUUUUGAGGUAUUUUUGAUAACUUGUUUGAAUAAUUUCUACAGUACUAUAAAGUAGUGCUAGAAGUACUGGGAGUAAGUUGAGGAUUUGUGUAAAGGUUUGCUGAAGACAUUUUGAAAGCAAAGGGAUUCUGGAAUAGCUAAUGUUGAAAUGCCUUUAUGAUUUCUCAAAGUAAUCAAUGGUGGAAGCCCCAUAGAAUUCCUUUCAAAUUCUUUGAAGCAAAUAAAAAAAAUCUUCAUAAGAAUUCCUAUAUAUUUCCUUGGAGGAAUUUCUGUAGGAGGCCUUGGGGGUAAUUUCUGUAGAACCACCUGAGAAAUUUUUGCAGGAAUCCUUUGGGGAUGCAUGUGUUCACUCUUGUAGGGUUAUCUGAAAGAAAAUUGUGAGAAAUCCCUGAAUGAAUCUUUUUAACGUAGCUUGAAAAAAAAAUCCUUCGAGAGAAAGAUUAACUGGACUUUUUUAAAGGAUUCCUGAACGAAUUGUGGAAGAGGACUUGGAAAAAUCUCAUAAGGAAUCUUUGAACGAUUUCCUACAGCACUUAUUGGAUGAAUUUCUAAAGAAAUCUCUGCAGGUAGGGUAAUUUUCCAAUUAUUGCACGGCUAAAAAUUCGCCAAUUAUUGCACACCUCUUAAGAAUAACAUGGAGCGGACCUGGUUGGAUGGUUAGAACACGUGACUAUCACGCCGAGGACCUGGGAUCGAAUCCCACUCCCGACAAACUCACAAAAUGUGAGUUCUUCCUUCGGAAGGGAAGUAAAGCGUUCGGGACCCACGAUGAACUAGCCCAGGGCUAAAAAUAUCGUUAACACAGAUAAAAAAAAAAUGAAAAAUUACCCUAUAAUCAAAGAAAUGCUUGAACAAAUUUGUAAGAAAUCCUGUAACAAAGACCGUUUGAUGCAUCGCAAAAGAAAUUCUUGAAAAAAAAAAUAUAAAAAAAAUCCUCAAGGAAUUCCUAAAGGAUUCGUCUGGAAAACGGCUGAAGUGACUAUGUGGGGUAGCCCCAAAAGAAACCUUUGCAGGAGUUUCUAACAAAAUCCUUGAAGAAAUUCUGAAAGAAUAUUUGGAUUACUUCCAAGAGAUUUUUUGAAGAAAUAUUUAAAAAAUCCGUGGAAAAAUUCCCGCAGGAAUUCUUGAAGCGCUUCCUGAAGAAUUCCCGAUGGAAAUCUUGACCUUGCAAAGGAAUGAAGCGCUUUUUGUUUUGUUUCUAAUGUUUGUAUUUUUGUUAGAAGUGAGCACGAAUGAUAACAAAAUUGCAUAAUCAAUCGGUACCGCAAUGGUUUUGUUUUCGAAUAGGAUGAAUUUGGGAUUGUAAGAUGACUAAGGUCAUGUUGACCCUACCAGGUAUUCUCAGAGAUCUUUUUAAAUUAUUUUUUGGAGGAAUUUCUAGGGGAAUCAUUAGUAAAUCCUGGUGAAAUUCUUGACUGUGAUGCAUGAUGGAAACUUUAAACUUUUAAGAAGUCUUAUCAAAAAUCGCAAUAGGAAUUUUUAGAAGAGCAAUUUGAGAAUUUGAGAAUUUGCUGUAAGAGAAAACGGCAAUGAGAAUCCUUGGAUUUUUUUUUAAAUUUUUAUCCAAUGAAUUAUUUGGAAAUUUCUUGGAGGAAUUCUAGAAUGAAUCAAUUAGUAAAACCUUAGAGAAACUCCUUCAAGAAUCCUUUCAGAAAUUUUUCGAAAAAAAGCAUUGCAGUAAUUUUUGAAGGAAUCCUUGGAGGAAUUUCUGAAAGAAACCUUAGAAAAAAAUCUUUAGAAAUCCCUAAAAGAACGCCAAGAUGCUAAGAUGCUUGAGCAAAUGCUAAGGUUAUUUCUUGGAGAGAUCUCUGUAAGGGCAUUGUGAGAGAAUAAUUGAGAAAUCCAUGAAGAAUCUAUGCAGAAAUUUUAUUGCUGUGUGCGUUCAAGAUGCAAACGGUGCCCAAAUGCGCUUCAAACGCGGUAACACAUGUUACCAAAGCAAUGUAGCAACCAUAGCCAAAAUCACCUCCAACCUAGGAUUCGAAGGCUCCCACUGACAUCGGGUUACUUGUUAGAAAAUCUUACCGCAUUUGGUGGUUCCGCAUUUGAUAUUUGCAUUUUGAAUGUACACAGCAAUACCCGAGCAGGAGAAAAUAGCUGAAGAAUACCUUACUCAGGUAUGGAAAACCGAAUACCUACAACCUGAAUGAGGUAUUAAGUAGCCCUGCAUAAGAGGUAAAAUACCUAAAAUAAUAACUGGUGUGUAUUCUGUGCAUAACGCAUGAAUAAUGACUUCAGGUAUGGCAAUACCUUAAUAAUAAUCGACUAUUUUUCCAUAUAAAUAGCUAUUUUUCCAUAAUUGAAUAAUACCUCAAGCAGUCCUCAACACCAAACCAAUACUUCGUUGAGGUAUUUUAUCAAUAUCUACAAAAUACCAAAAUAAGUUAUUUUCAAUACCUGGAUAACCAAUCAAUACCUUGUCUUGGUAUGAUACCUGACUUCGGUAUGCUCCAAUUAUGUGUCAGUAAUUCAUUCCUGCUCAGGUAUAAGGACUUCCAUUCCUCUGGCACAAUUCCGAUGUAAUUUUUUGAAAGAUUCUUUGGUUCCGAAGGAAUCAUUGGAGAGUUAUUUGUAGUAGUUUUUUUCGAGAACUUCUUAAGAGUGGCCUUCCAGACAAAUCCUCAGAGAUAUAAUUGAUAGGACUUGGUGGACUUCCUGAACAAAUGAUACAAUAAAUACUUAAUAAAGCCUUUGAAAGAAUCUUUUGAAGUUCUCUGAAGUACUUGUGAAAACAUUUUGGGAGGUUUAAAUGUAUAGAUUUAUCAUUGAAAAACAUGCACAUCUGUAAUUUUCACGGGGGUUCACAAAUUUGGUUCUGCACCGGGCUUCCAAAUUCCUAGCUACGCCACUGGAAACCAUUAAAAAUAGUUUUUGAUCCACAAAAUUGCUUCUAAUUGUUUUUUUUUCAGUCUAAGAACAAGUCCUUUUCCUCAUCAACCGAAACACAAGCUUCAAGUAUUAGUCUGAGCUGUGCAAUAAAUUCCACUAGAAAAGCCCAGUAAAUGCCAAACCUCACCGCUUCAAAAAGCAAUAAAUAAAACCCUUGGUGAAUGGGCGAAUAUCUCUCGGCGAACACCCACGCACAACGGCAGCAGUCACUAGCAGUCAAGACACUUCAUCGCUGCGUAACGAAUACCUACAGAGGUAUACCGUUCCGAAGUUUGCGCCAUAGAGAGUCCGCCGUUUAAUACCGCAUGAUGAUGGUGCGGAAGCUUUGUUUACUUUCGUUUCCAAUCCAGAGAGUGCAAUGCAACUAAACUUGGUCCAUGCAACAGACUACUCGCACUGCGUGUACCUACCAUACCAUGGGAAGAGAUUUAGCCGGCGGAACAUUUAGGUUCCAACAACAAGUGUGCUUAAAUAGCUGAGUUGUAUCAUGGGGCUCUUGUCUGGCUGACCGGCCGGCCUCGGUACCUACCUACUAUAUAUCUAUAAAGAAAACUAAUUGCAUUUUGUCCUGUUGCCAAGUGCCUGUGGCAGCUUUGCUCAUCUCGAUGUGCAUUGGGGGGUAGCGCAUUUCAUGCUACCAUAGAAAAUGGAGAUAUGUAGUAUUUUCGAGAGAAGCUUACAGGGGUCUCAAAGAAGGUUUCACAACGAGUUUCAAGAUGG